GCACCCGUAGCUCAGCUGGAUAGAGCGUUUGACUACGAAUCAAAAGGUCGCACGUUCGAGUCGUGCCGGGUGCACCA
This 77-nucleotide transfer RNA is filed under the name Pseudomonadota bacterium. Its description in RNAcentral is "tRNA-Arg". It matches the Rfam family "tRNA". Rfam says of the family: Transfer RNA (tRNA) molecules are approximately 80 nucleotides in length. Their secondary structure includes four short double-helical elements and three loops (D, anti-codon, and T loops). RNAcentral also lists the same sequence under 2 other names. Lineage: Bacteria; Pseudomonadati; Pseudomonadota. The record is from RNAcentral.